Molecule: ribosomal RNA, 264 nt
Filed under: uncultured bacterium
Lineage: Bacteria
Description: partial 16S ribosomal RNA
Rfam family: Bacterial small subunit ribosomal RNA
Source: RNAcentral
GUUACCCUACGGGAGGCAGCAGUAGGGAAUCUUCCACAAUGGACGAAAGUCUGAUGGAGCAACGCCGCGUGAGUGAAGAAGGGUUUCGGCUCGUAAAGCUCUGUUGGUAGUGAAGAAAGAUAGAGGUAGUAACUGGCCUUUAUUUGACGGUAAUUACUUAGAAAGUCACGGCUAACUACGUGCCAGCAGCCGCGGUAAUACGUAGGUGGCAAGCGUUGUACGGAUUUAUUGGGCGUAAAGCGAGUGCAGGCGGGUCAAUAAGGC